AUGGCAUCGUCGUCGCUGAAGGUCGCCGCGGGGCAUCUGAUAUGCCUCGUGCUCGCACAGGGGCUCUUCGUCGGCCUGAACGUCCGCGGGCUGGAGCUCGCGCAGCCGCCGGCCCACGCGACGCCGCCCCUCGCCCGCUGCGCAGCCGGGCCCUGGCACCGCCAGAGGAUGGGCGCCCUGCACGCGUUCUCGCUGCUCGCGGUGGAGGCAUCGGCCUACGUCGCCCUCGCCGUCAAGAUCCACCGCAGUGACCGGCCGACCGCAGGGAUCUGCAUCCGCGCCUCCAUGCUGCUCGCCGCCGCGCUGUCGCUGGCGGCCACCGUCCUCCAUACGGCGACGCUCUUCUACGUGCAACAGGUGAGGCUGGGCGCGGACUUCUCUUGCUUCUCCGUCGCCGCCAGGGCCGGCGUAUGUGCCUACGCGCUGAUGGGGGCCAUGGGGCUCGUGUGCGCCUGGAAACACUGCCAACUCGCCGUCGUCGCCAUCCGCUGUGACUAG
This 498-nucleotide ribosomal RNA is filed under the name Triticum aestivum (bread wheat). Its description in RNAcentral is "partial small subunit ribosomal RNA". Lineage: Eukaryota; Viridiplantae; Streptophyta; Magnoliopsida; Poales; Poaceae. The record is from RNAcentral.